AUUGAACGCUGGCGGCAGGCCUAACACAUGCAAGUCGAACGGUAACAGGAAACAGUUUGCUGUUUCGCUGAAGAGUGGCGGACGGGUGUGAAACGUCUGGGAAACUGCUUGAUGGAGGGGGAUAACUACUGGAAACGGUAGUUAAUCCCGCAUAACGUCGCAAGCCCAAAGAGGGGGAGCUUCGGGCCUCCUGUCAUUCGCUGUGCCCGGGUGGGAUUAGCUAGUAGGUGGGGUAACGGCUCACCUAGGCGACGAUCCCUAGCUGGUCUGAGAGGAUGACCAGCCACACUGGAACUGAGACACGGUCCAGACUCCUACGGGAGGCAGCAGUGGGGAAUAUUGCGCAAUGGGCGCAAGCCUGAUGCAGCCAUGCCGCGUGUAUGAAGAAGGCCUUCGGGUUGUAAAGUACUUUCAGCGGGGAGGAAGGGAGUAAUGUUAAUACCUUUACUCAUUGACGUUACCCGCAGAAGAAGCACCGGCUAACUCCGUG
RNAcentral lists this ribosomal RNA (490 nucleotides) under uncultured bacterium. Its description in RNAcentral is "partial 16S ribosomal RNA". It matches the Rfam family "Bacterial small subunit ribosomal RNA", at positions 30 to 507 of the family's 1533-position model. The record is from RNAcentral.